RNAcentral lists this long non-coding RNA (2355 nucleotides) under Nasonia vitripennis (jewel wasp). RNAcentral's name for it is "uncharacterized LOC107980654". Lineage: Eukaryota; Metazoa; Arthropoda; Insecta; Hymenoptera; Pteromalidae. The record is from RNAcentral.
ACCUAGGCGUUGUAUUUGCGAAUGUGCAGCAUACCAGUCCCUAACGACUCGAGCAGUGUGGACUGGACUAUUGUCUUCUAUUACCCACACGGUUUCUUCAUUUGGGUAACGUUGCUGAAUACCUGAUAGAAGAUAGUUUUCAAGCAGCUGCACAUACAAUGUUCUGUAGAUCUGCAUCCGUAAGUUUAAAUUUUCCACCAUUACGACGUCGAAGAUCGUGUACUGGUGCAUUUUCAUUCUCUUGAGCAAAUCGUCUGGUCCACUUCUUUACGCAUGCAGUUGUGCAGUUGAAGAAAAAUGCGAUUUGAUCAACUGUUUGCUGACGAGUCCACAAAUCCCGCAUUUGUAAAAGAUUGUCUCUUGUCGGUCGAAACGGCAUUUUCGCGUAAAGCAAGAUACACUUUGCUUUGCGUUACACACAACACUACGUAGCACUUUGUCGAAGUAUACUGUCCGUCAGUACUUACUAGCCAAAGCUUAAACACUCUCUGAACGUCCGACGCGGAAAAAUAUAAACACACGGUGCGUACUCGUAUGUCGUCUGCGCUUUCGACAAAAUUCCACGAAUUACAGAAUGCCGAGCGCGAGGCGCGUUUGCCGAUGUGACCGCAUCGACCUUCCUAUGAGCCCAUAGACAGUAGCGCUACAGUCGCGCGCGCAUUCGGCAGUCGGCAUUCGCUUUCGAUCAGAGAAGGUUUCUCGUACUGAUAUUUCAGUACUUACUGCAAGUAUAUUUACGCUGUGUUAAGCUAUUUCAUUAUUACGAUGAACAACAUAGAAAGAGUAGUGGCACAGGAAGUGCAUGAACGGGUUUUCUUGUAUGACUUGUUACAUCCGUCUAAUCUUGAUCAACAAAUGUGAGCUCAAGCUUUUCAAAAGAUGAGUCUGACUAUUAGACAAGAAUUUCCUGAAGUUGCAAAGGUGUAUGAUGCUGACAGAGUAGUCUCAAUUUAUAAUAAUCUUAGAAGGACAUAUGUCCUCAUUAAACGAAAGAUUAUUGCUGGUGAUUGGAACUUCCAGACUUUAUCAGAGAAGAGGAAAGAUAUAUACGAUGCCAUGUCGUUCUUAAAAUAUUUUAUCCGACAUCGAAGUGGACCACCAAUGAUUAAUCCUCUACGCUAGCUACUUAUAUUUUGUUACAAUCAUUAAUUAUUAGACUAUUUGUUGCGGUAAAUCAAUGUUCAAUCAUCAAGAUUGGUGAUUUUAACACCAUUUAAUAUAAAUGUUAUGUUAGCACGCGUUCUACCUUACAGUUCUACUAGUAUUUUGAGAAAAUCUAUGACAAUUGUCAACAAGCUUUGAAUUACUUCAGAACAGUAUUAAGUUCACACAGAUCACAUGGCUUAGCGGAAACUCAUCUGACUACUAGCUUCAUUACUAUAUAGGUAAUUGUAGUCCGAAAAAAGAAGAAAAGCAUUGAUAUAAGAGCAUUACAUGGCUUGGCGAUAACUCAUCAGUCAGAUUCUACCAGUACUAAAGGCAAUUUGAGUCACAAAAUACAACAAGAGUGUUGAUAUAAGUGGAUCCGACAGUUUGAAAAAUGUUUAUUGCCAAUAGAGUAUGAUUAAUUUUUCAUCUAGAGGUCUGUAAGUUGGUACAGGUAUUGUAACAAUGUAUACAAAACAAAUUAUCAGGGUAGUUUUCAUUGCAAUAUGUUCUGUAUCAAUGUUCACCUGAAAACCUACCCGCGGUUCGCCAUUUGACGUGUGUGAUCUCUUGGUUUUAUUGUUCAACAAACUUCCUUCAUCCCAAACAAUUGUAUUAUUAUAUUCUGUUGUAUUUUUAACUAUAUACAGAUAGUUUUCAUUACUUUGUCUCUUACUCUCAGACCUUUAGAUGAAAAAUUAUUCAAGCUUUAUUGCAAUUGAACUUUUUAUGAAAAAUAUAUUAACCAUUACAUGUCAUUCAUUAAGUUAUUUUUUUCAGAUAAAAUGUUGCUUAUGCACCUUUUUUACAAGACCAGUUUGCAAUGGUGAGGGGACAAACUGUCGAUAGCGAUACAAUAACACAUAAGCCAGUCAAUGUAAAAGAAAAUUUAUAUUAUGUUAAUGUAUAUUUCUUAUGUUCUAUUUUCGAUGUAGGCUAUAAGAGAGUUUCUUCAAUGUAUUUUUUACAAUGCUUCGAUGCAUAUUUACGUUAGUUUGUAUUUUUAUACGACGAUUUAUAUUAUUUAUUGUCUUUGUUCAUUUAAACGUUGUUGAUUGAUAUAUAAAAAUAAAAUUGUGGUAAAACUAUUGAUUUCUUUCACCUUCAUAACUGCUCCUAUUAUACUUCUGUUAAAAUAUAUGUGAGGAUUUAAUAUAAGUAUUCUCUUUAUACUAUUGAUGUGACUACUUGCAGCUGUGACCUAUUUAA